GUCAAUAUGUCCGAGUGGUUAAGGAGAUUGACUCGAAAUCAAUUGGGCUCUGCCCGCGCAGGUUCGAAUCCUGCUGUUGACG
Molecule: transfer RNA, 82 nt
Filed under: Arabidopsis halleri subsp. gemmifera
Lineage: Eukaryota; Viridiplantae; Streptophyta; Magnoliopsida; Brassicales; Brassicaceae
Description: tRNA tRNA-Ser
Rfam family: tRNA
About the family: Transfer RNA (tRNA) molecules are approximately 80 nucleotides in length. Their secondary structure includes four short double-helical elements and three loops (D, anti-codon, and T loops). Further hydrogen bonds mediate the characteristic L-shaped molecular structure. tRNAs have two regions of fundamental functional importance: the anti-codon, which is responsible for specific mRNA codon recognition, and the 3' end, to which the tRNAs corresponding amino acid is attached (by aminoacyl-tRNA synthetases). tRNAs cope with the degeneracy of the genetic code in two manners: having more than one tRNA (with a specific anti-codon) for a particular amino acid; and 'wobble' base-pairing, i.e. permitting non-standard base-pairing at the 3rd anti-codon position.
Source: RNAcentral